AGUUGAAUGAGACUUAAUUGUGUUUCGUACAACGAUUUUAUUCAAGCCGGUCAAUUAGAAGUGGCAGAAAUAAAUAUCCCAUUUGAGAAACGACAAACCAAGAAAAAAAAAUAGUAGUUAAUGCACAAGCGGAGUUUUGUACCACUGAUAAACCAAACAGAUUCGCAAAAUAACGCCAUAUACAGUCAUCUCCUCCGUCUAAAUCGUUGCUGUAGUAGUUGGAGGGACCUCAACAUUUUUUUGGAAGUUGUUAUUGACCCAAUCCAAGUUUGGAAUGUGCUAUCCCUUUAUUAAGGGUGCACAACAUUUGCAUUUAAAUUCAGGAGCGUCAUUCAAUGCUGGGAUGAUAGAUGAUGUGGCUUCUUAUUACGACGAAUUGAGCGAGCCAAGUGUCUUUCCACACUUAACCCGUUGCCUUUACCAGAUCUAAUUAUCUGGUCUGCUCCAAUGCAGCCCAUAACAGCCAGAAGCUGUUACAGUUUAGACAUUCGUGAAUGAUUCAUUGUCAUAUAAAACAAGAAGCCUUACCGUUAAUAUUCUUGUAAUGAUAGUAAAUUGUUUCACCUCCCAUGGAUACCUAACAUCCAAUUUUGUCACAAGAAGACAUUGAAUGAUGAGCUGCACAGAGUGACAUCUUGUUUUAGCGACAGCAAUUAUCUACACAGAAUGAUGGCCGCCAUCGGCAACAAUGUAACAACAAUUAAAAAGGUACAAUGGCCGACAAUCACAACAAUUGAAAAUGUAUAAUGGCCGACAACAAAUGAAUAAUGGCCGACAGCAUCAAUAAUACCGCAACAAUGAAGUGAUAAAGAUGGCUGACCACUAAUAUGAAUAAAUUAUUGUCUU
This 846-nucleotide long non-coding RNA is filed under the name Agrilus planipennis (emerald ash borer). RNAcentral's name for it is "uncharacterized LOC108734703, transcript variant X1". The record is from RNAcentral. Lineage: Eukaryota; Metazoa; Arthropoda; Insecta; Coleoptera; Buprestidae.